UUUGACAUUUAUUUCUAAAUAUUACAAAAAAAAAAAAGGACGGACCGCACCAGGCCCCUUCAGGCUACAGCCGAGUGUCACCUGAGCUACGCAGCAAGGACGCAUAGCGCUAUCCGACGUAAUCGUCAAUUAUAUAUAUUACGGGACCAAUCAUGGUACCAAGAUGGCCAGAUACACCGCCCCAGGGGGCAGAAGGACCAUUCGAGGGGCCACUGCUGGAUGGGAUACCGCCGCCUCUCAAUGCUUUCUUCGCCCCCUUUCACGAGGGCUAGUGCUUAUUCGGCUGCUUAUACGUGCGGGGCGGGGAGGAGGAGGAGGAGCUAUGCUACGGCAGUGAACCACGUGCAAGCAGUAUACAUACCGUGGGCAAGUCAAGGAUGAUUAUACAAAUACGGAAGACGAUGGAUCAGUAAAUUGUAUUUAUAACGUAACAAUCAGCACAGAAUGUCGUCCAACCAACAAACUGGUCGUAAUGAUUUCAAUUGUAUUACAUACUACAGAAGACAAUUAUACAAGGUGUACUUAUCUAUAUGUUUUGUCACGCGAGUCCUGUCCUAACAGCGUCCCGGCCCACACACAACUGAACUCUCCCCCGCUUCCGUCCCAUCCCCACGCUGCUUCUCUUUUAUUAUUGUUCUUCUCAAACCAACCCUCCCUUGCUUCUGACCAAUCACAGAGGGUCAUAAACACACCAUUUAUCUUCGAUUGAUCUUGAGUUUUACAAAACUAAUCAAUACUCUAACAGGUGCAUGCGAGCACAGACGGCUGAGCACAGAGCGGAGUACACAGCGCGUGUAAAACAUUAUUUAAAGAUUGACCCCGCGAUAGAUCUGCGCGUGGGCGCCUGUGUAUGCUGUGCUCGGUGUGUGAUCCACGCGUAUGCACCCAGCGAUUGCAUAGCUUGCAUAGGGUACUUCUGCGAUAAUAGGGAGCUGUUAUUAAGGCAGGGGGUUGCAGAAGUCCCUCCCCCGCCCCAGGUAUGAGAUGUAAAUAUGUAAAUUUUUUUGUCAUACGUCAUUAUUUAUUAUUAUUAUAUAUAUAUUGUAACGUGGCAUAAGGCGCCCGGCUUGGGUGCGCCACGUUACAUUAAGGGAUACAACCCGCGGGUCCGCGUCUAAGGGUCGCGCGAUCGGGGUGGGAGGGGGUUCAGCUGCGGUGGCGGCGGGGCGGAUCGGAAGGCGAGGCACGAGGGCCGAUACCCUACGCUGAGGAUGCCACCG
Long non-coding RNA from Cephus cinctus (wheat stem sawfly), 1220 nucleotides. RefSeq lists it as uncharacterized. Lineage: Eukaryota; Metazoa; Arthropoda; Insecta; Hymenoptera; Cephidae. The transcript has 4 exons. The record is from RefSeq and is a predicted model, not a curated record.